CCCCACAAAUACGUUAUAUUUGCGGCGGUCAAUAACCUCCGCCAACCUUAAAAAAAUGCGUACUAACCCCAAUUUUCCCCUCUUUUUUGAUAAUUUUCCUCUUUUUUCCCCAAACCCCUCCCUCACUUUCACGAAAGAGAAGCUUUUCAGCUUCCAUUUGGACCGUAGGGGGGUUCACGCUUGGACCGUCACUAAUGUAAAUUUUUGCUUUCUUCCCCAUUCUAUGAAAGAGAUUCACAACGGUAAGUUUGAUUGUGGGUUCAGAUCUAUGGUAAUUCCUCUUCCCCAUUCUUUGAUUUUGCUUUUCUGUGUUUCUUUUUUCUUGCAUGUGGGUUUUAGGUUUAUUUCCUUUUGUUAAUUUGUGUUUUUCCUUAACUGAUUUUUCCUCUAAUUUGUGGCUUUUCUGUAUUACGAUUCUCUACUGAGAGUAACAGAAAUUUUAGUUGAAUCAGUGUUUUUUAAAGAAGGAUAUAACACUCUCUUUUGAAUUCGAGAUGUAAGUCUUCUUUCUCCUUCUGCCUUAGGUAUUUUAGGUUGUAAAAUUUAGCUUUUUUGGUAUUUUUGUAGGUUAAUUUCUGCGAUUUUGGGUCUACUUAAUUGAAAUAUUUCCUCUUGCAUGUGUAUUUUAGAAUUCCUGAGGACCUUUAGAGAAGACACAAUUGUCACUAGUGGCUAUUCCUCUUUCUGCUCUACAUGGUGUUUGAAUCAAUCACAAGCCCAAGCGUUACAAGAACUUCCAGAACUCAAUUCAGUCAGCACCUACAUCACAAGGUGUAGCACAAACUUUAUCAACAACUGAAUCAACACCUUCGCAUUUUGAUGAUGCACCACAGCUGACUUCAUUUAUUCAACCGAUAACACAACCAACACCUUCAGGUCAUGUUGCAGCAAAUCCGGUUCUGUUAGAUCAGACCACAACACAGCAAGUUCCAUCAGCCCGGGUCGCGUCACAACACACACCAUCUAGAAAGUGUAGUGGACGUGUAUCUACGCAACAUUGGACUGUAGAUGAAAUAGCCAAGUGAUGCGGCUAGCGGAUCCAUUUCACCCAUGGAUAUAAGAAGAUCAUCCGGUGGAAGUAAUCCUAACAACAACCUUUGAAGUUGCUUGCAAAUGUAUUAGAUAAUUAAGCAUCGUAUUCGAUUGAAUGGUCAUAGUAGAUAUUUUGUCCAUAAUGGUUGGAGUGGAUGUUCUGUUUAAAGUUAGUUUUAAGAAUAAUUAUAAUAUUGAUGUUUUGUGUUUAAUGGUUGGAGUAGUUGUGUUUAAAGCAAAUUUUUGAGACUAAUGUAUUUUGUGGUUUAUUAAUAUAUUGACAUUACUUGAUUCCA
This is a long non-coding RNA of Nicotiana attenuata, 1328 nucleotides long. RefSeq lists it as uncharacterized. The record is from RefSeq and is a predicted model, not a curated record. The transcript is spliced from 3 exons. NCBI's taxonomy places the organism in Eukaryota, Viridiplantae, Streptophyta, Magnoliopsida, Solanales, Solanaceae.